RNAcentral lists this ribosomal RNA (282 nucleotides) under uncultured eukaryote. Its description in RNAcentral is "partial small subunit ribosomal RNA". It matches the Rfam family "Eukaryotic small subunit ribosomal RNA", at positions 190 to 469 of the family's 1831-position model. The record is from RNAcentral.
UUUUUGGAGGGUUGUGCUCAUUGUGUUACAAACUAUCUCAGGUACUACCUGGCCUCUUGUUGAAGCAAGAUGACGGUGCAGACUGCAAGGCGUAAGUUGGCAGUAAGUCACUGAAGUCUCUGACCUAUCAGCUUCCGAAGGUAGGAUAUGGGCCUACAUUGGCAACGACGGGUAACGGAGGAUUGGGGUUUGACUCCGGAGAGGGAGCCUGAGAAAUGGCUACCACAUCUAAGGAAGGCAGCAGGCGCGCAAAUUACCCAAUCCUGGCAUAGGGAGGUAGUG